This 56-nucleotide non-coding RNA is filed under the name Streptomyces violaceusniger Tu 4113. Lineage: Bacteria; Bacillati; Actinomycetota; Actinomycetes; Kitasatosporales; Streptomycetaceae. The record is from RNAcentral.
CCCGUUAUUCUUUGACGAAAGCCCUGCCCGACCCGGCAGGGAGAGACCCGAGGAGC